AUAUUACUUGACAACUAUGAACUUUGGGCCACGGUAUCUUUUUGUUUGAGCUGUAGGGUGGAAUUCUACAGUUUGUGGAAUUCUUGUAUCUCUCUGUUCACUCAAUGGCGUCGUACUAGGUACCCUCCGUUAAUUCUAACAAAUACAACAAUAACUCGCAAAUUCCCUUUUUUGUGCUUAUAAAUAGUACCAUUGUACAUUAUCAAACACAAUUAGUGCCAUGAAAACUGAUGGAAUGGCUUUAUUUACUAAUGAAAAAGAGAAUUAGGUAAGGAGAAAGAACACGAGGUUUGAGUUACGGAUAGGGAUGCUGAGUAGAGUCUGGGAUUAAAUAUAGAUUCCAGUGGUGGUGCUGGUGGUGAGGACAAUGAAAUGAUAACCAAGGUGGUGUUGGGAUUUUACACAAGAAUUUAACUUCAUCUAGUAGUGCACUUCAGGGACUGCUUAGGAAAUUGGGUGCUGGACUGGAUGAUUUACUCUCUAGCUAUGCAAUGGGGUCAGCAUCAUCGUCUCACCGGAGUAGACGGCUCAAUAAGAUGUUAGUUGGUUUAAGGGCAAAUGGCGAGGAAGGGAAAUAGGUAGAGGAUUUGAUGCAGCUGUGUGAGAUGCUUUCCAUUGUAACAGAAGACUCCCUGUCCAUAUUUUUUGUGUAUUCAUUUGUUCCAGUACUUCUAGGACUGCUCAAUCACAUGAACAAUCCUGACAUUAUAUUUCUUGUUGCCCGGGCUCUUACCCAUGUGGUUGACAUUCUUUCUUCUUCUUGUGUUGCUAUUCUCCAUUAUAGAGCUGUUUCAUGCUUUGUAGCUCGCCUGCUUACAAUUGAAUACAUGGACUUGGCUGAACAGUCUUUGCAGGAUCUAAAGAAGAUAUCUCAGGUGCAUCCCAGUGCUUAUUUGAGGGCUGGUACACUGAUGGCUGUGCUUUCUUAUAUCGAUUUCUUUUCCGCUAGAGUUCAGGUAGAAGAAUUCCUUUCAUGAUCUUAUCAAAUUCAAUUUUAGUGGAAUAAGCAACCUUUCAACUCCUUUUAAUACUUAAUAUGAUCACUUCUAAAUAUUUAUAUCCUUCAAUAGAGAGUAGCAUUAGCAACUGCUGCUCAUAUGUGCAAGAAGCUUCCUUCAGAUGCGUCUAAUUUGGUACUCCCUAUGUACUUUUUUAGGCUUAGAAAUGAAAGAAUUCUUGGAAGUUCCUUGAAUCCUUUGAAUCCGCUGAAAAGCUUUACUAGUUCGGUGCCUGCACUACUUAGGCGUAUGCCAGAGAAUGUAAAUCCGAGAUUAAGGACGUCUUGUUGCCCCCGGUGCAAGGAGAAGUAUAACCUUGAGUUGGCAAAACUUGUAUCUGAGUUUGAGAUUUCAUCAUCUGAAGCUAAACUGGAAUCUCCUCGACCUCAGUUGCCUCAGUGGUUGCAAAAUGAUAUGCUAAAGAAUGAUAGUAAUGUAACUUCUUUGUCGCAGAUUAAAGAUCAAGGUCUUUUGCAGCAGAAGACUCAAGAACUACGAAAGAAGUGGAAAGAUACAUGCUUGCAACUUCAGAUAAUGUCUAAAUGAAUAUUUGUGUAUAUUUCAGGAAAGUUUGAGCUUGAUAACUUACAGAGAGAUUCCAAUGAGAUCGCUAAUGAAUUGGGCAAGUUAAAAGAGGAUAUUGCCAGCCUUAAAGCUGCUUUAAACAACGGGAGAGGAGUUUUUUACAGGACCACUGCUUAUUGGGUCUCAGCCUUUUGUUUUAUGUAGACGGAAAUGUUAGUUGAUCUGAGCUUAGAGGAUGUGAAAUGUGUUGCUCUUCAUUAUGGAUUUGUAUUCGAGAAAGAAUCCACUAUUGAGACAACAUAUACUACAAAUUCAAGGUCAAUGAUACAAGUAAGUCUAACAU
Capsicum annuum is the source of this 1866-nucleotide long non-coding RNA. RefSeq lists it as uncharacterized. NCBI's taxonomy places the organism in Eukaryota, Viridiplantae, Streptophyta, Magnoliopsida, Solanales, Solanaceae. The record is from RefSeq and is a predicted model, not a curated record. The transcript has 6 exons.